RNAcentral lists this ribosomal RNA (783 nucleotides) under Gammaproteobacteria bacterium. Its description in RNAcentral is "bacterial SSU rRNA". It matches the Rfam family "Bacterial small subunit ribosomal RNA", at positions 1 to 796 of the family's 1533-position model. The record is from RNAcentral. Lineage: Bacteria; Pseudomonadati; Pseudomonadota; Gammaproteobacteria.
CUUUCUACGGAGAGUUUGAUCCUGGCUCAGGAUGAACGCUAGCGGCGUGCCUAAUGCAUGCAAGUCGAACGGGAUCCCUUGGACUCGUCUGAGGGUGAGAGUGGCGAACGGGUGAGUAACACGUUGGUGACCUGCCCCAGAGUGGGGGAUAACCACUGGAAACGGUGGCUAAUACCCCAGAUGUUAUCAGGGUUAGAGACCUGAUAACUGAAGCUCCGGCGCUCUGGGAGGGGCCUGCGGCCCAUCAGCUAGUUGGUAGGGUAAUGGCCUACCAAGGCGAAGACGGGUAGGGGGCGUGAGAGCGUGGCCCCCCACACUGGUACUGAGACACGGACCAGAUACCUACGGGUAGCAGCAGCAAGGAAUAUUGCGCAAUGGGCGAAAGCCUGACGCAGCAACGCCGCGUGGAGGAUGAAGGCCUUCGGGUUGUAAACUCCUUUUCUGGGGGAUGAGGAAGGACAGUACCCCAGGAAUAAGUCUCGGCUAACUACGUGCCAGCAGCCGCGGUAAAACGUAGGAGGCGAGCGUUAUCCGGAUUUACUGGGCGUAAAGCGCAUGCAGGCGGUCUUCUAAGUCGGACGUGAAAGCUCCUGGCUCAACUGGGAGAGGCCGUUCGAAACUAGGAGACUUGAGGGUGGCAGAGGAGAGUGGAAUUCCCGGUGUAGUGGUGAAAUGCGUAGAUAUCGGGAGGAACACCAGUGGCGAAGGCGGCUCACUGGCCCGAUACUGACGCUGAGGCACGAAAGCGUGGGGAGCAAACAGGAUUAGAAACCCGUGUAGUCC